GCGAUGCUAGUGUAAUGGUAGCACAUCCGACUGCGCAAUACGGAUGGCUCUGGUUCGAUUCCAGGUUGUCGCC
This is a non-coding RNA of Mycena floridula, 73 nucleotides long. NCBI's taxonomy places the organism in Eukaryota, Fungi, Basidiomycota, Agaricomycetes, Agaricales, Mycenaceae. The record is from the annotation of a GenBank genome assembly.